CCUACGGGGGGCAGCAGUGAGGAAUAUUGGUCAAUGGCCGUAAGCCUGAACCAGCCAAGUCGCGUGAAGGAUGAAGGACCUAUGGUUUGUAAACUUCUUUUAUAGGGGAAUAAAGGUAUCCACGUGUGGAUAUUUGCAUGUACUUUAUGAAUAAGGAUCGGCUAACUCCGUGCCAGCAGCCGCGGUAAUACGGAGGAUCCGAGCGUUAUCCGGAUUUAUUGGGUUUAAAGGGUGCGUAGGUUGUUUUUUAAGUCAGCGGUGAAAGUUUGUGGCUCAACCGUAAAAUUGCCGUUGAUACUGGAAGACUUGAGUGUGGUUGAGGUAGGCGGAAUGCGUGGUGUAGCGGUGAAAUGCAUAGAUAUCACGCAGAACACCGAUUGCGAAGGCAGCUUACUAAGCCAUAACUGACACUGAUGCACGAAAGCGUGGGGAUCAAACAGGAUUAGAUACCCGGGUAGUC
This 460-nucleotide ribosomal RNA is filed under the name uncultured bacterium. Its description in RNAcentral is "partial 16S ribosomal RNA". It matches the Rfam family "Bacterial small subunit ribosomal RNA", at positions 338 to 795 of the family's 1533-position model. The record is from RNAcentral.